GGGGGCUGCUUUAAUUUUAACAUUUAAACCCUUUUUAACAUUAAAUAUUCAUUCGUUUCUUAUUUUUUAAUCAUAAAACCAAAAUAUUAGCAAACAAAAAUAUCCCCCGAAAUACGAAAAAUCUAAUAUUCACCAUAGGUUUGUACAGUGUAGGCCAAAAAAUAGGUGCUCUACAAAAGUUCUUUAAAAAAACAUUUUUACAUUGAAGCCACAGAAUAUACCAUACUCAAAUUGAUCUUUGAUAAUCCAGGCCUACUUUCCUGCAAUUGGUUUUUUAUUAAUUGUUAUGCUUUUUCCUUAAAAAGUGAUACAAAAAUUAAUUUUUCCCAUCAAUUCCCGCCAUUGGUACUUUUCUCACGUAGAGGGAGCUUCACACAAUAACAAACGAAUCAAAGUAACAGUAGAAACUAAACAAACAAAAGUAGAUUCAUUCCAGCGGGCAGUCAGCUCUUAUUAUUCAUUUAAAUGAAAAUUCAUGCAAAGGACCUGGAAAAUCUGCAGAAAUAAACCCUAGGACUACUCUGACCAACGGAGGUUGGUGGUUUGGCAGUUGAAGGCUUAAGAAACUUGCUGACCAUCCUGGGUACAACCCCAACAGUCAAUGCCUCUAGCUACGACAGGCACAUAGCCACUUUUAAAUCGAUAUCUCAAGAGACCAGCGAGGAACACAUGAAGAGGGCGGCGGUAUGCCUACAACAAAGGGCAAUGGACAAGGACCCGACCAUCAGG
Long non-coding RNA from Strongylocentrotus purpuratus (purple sea urchin), 729 nucleotides. RefSeq lists it as uncharacterized. NCBI's taxonomy places the organism in Eukaryota, Metazoa, Echinodermata, Echinoidea, Camarodonta, Strongylocentrotidae. The record is from RefSeq and is a predicted model, not a curated record. The transcript has 3 exons.